Molecule: long non-coding RNA, 3598 nt
Organism: Aethalodelphis obliquidens (Pacific white-sided dolphin)
Lineage: Eukaryota; Metazoa; Chordata; Mammalia; Artiodactyla; Delphinidae
Exons: 3
Source: RefSeq, a predicted model, not a curated record
GGUUAAGAAUCCGCCUGCCAAUGCAGGGGACAGGGGUUCGAGCCCUGAUCUGGGAAGAUCCCACGCUUUGCAGAGCAAGUAAUCUCUUGUGCUACAACUACUGAAGCCUGUGCACCUAGAACCUGUGCUCCCCAACAAGAGAAGCCAGUGCAAUGAGAAGCCCGUGCACUGGAACGGGGAGUAGCCCCUGCUCAUCUCAAGUAGAGAGAGCUGGUGUGCAGCAAUGAAGACCCAAGGCAGCCAAAAAUUAAUUAAUUAAAUGCUUUAAAAAUUGGGGGAACAUGUAUUGGCAAAUACAAGAGUAUACCUUGACAAAGUAAAUUCUCUUCCUUCCUCUGAUCCCCACUUCUCACUGUUAACUAUUUCUUGUGUACCUUGGCCAGUAGGAUUCAUUGAGCUCUCACGAUGUCCCCAGCCUGUGCUAAGCCUGUCACAGAAAUGACCUUGCUCAAAUCACUCACCACCCAGUGUGUUGGCCAGGCACCAUUGCUAUACCCAUUUUAGAGAAGUGAAGCCUGAGGCUUAGAGAAAUGCAGGGAUGUGUCCUAUCAAGGGCCUGGCUUUGAAGGUUUUUCAAAAUUGAAGGUAUGGGAGCAGGUGAGAUCAGAGAGGAAAAAGUCCAAAGGGCCAGAGCCCAGGGGACUGGAGGGGAGUGGCAGGGAGUUCAAGGGGGCUGCCUGGAGGAGGAGUGAGGAAAGCUAGGAAGGUACCUUCCAGAGCCUUCUGAUGAAGGGCUUAGGUGGAAGUAAGUCACUCUGUUUGGGAGGCUGAGGUACCCCUGGCAGCAGGGCAGAACCCUCUCCUCAGGCCCCAGAGGUGUUCAUAGGAAGAGACUGAGGCUGCUUGAUGACAUCUCAGGGACACGGUGAUAGCACAGCCGGCUGUUAUGACGUCUGAGUGAUUCGCCACCUGCCUGUUAUGACCAGCAUCUCUAGUCAUGCCGCAUGGGGGGGAUGAGGAUGGGAGGAAGUGACAGGCCACAGGGGGUGGGGGUGACAGGGAUGCAGUCAUUUAGAGACCAGGGACUCAGCAGCUGAGAGAUGUGUUCUGCCCCCUGCACUAGGGAAAGUUGGGUGAGAGGAUCCACGUUUUGGUGUUCUGUUUAGUGAAGAAGGUCUACUAGUUUCAACAACGUUUGGCUGGGAUGGAGUAGGUCUGGGCUCAGAAUCAGGGGUCAGCCCAGAGGCUGCUGAGAUCAGGGACAUCUGUUUUGUUUGCUGCUGGGUCCCCAUCACCUAGGACAUAACUGGCACACAGUAGGGGCUCAAUACAUCUUUGUUGAAUGACUGAAUCAAAUGAAAGGGGUCAGCACUCUCUGGGCCUCAGUUUACCUUUUUGCCUAACAGCCCUGGCCAUCAGGCCACCUCAGCCAAUGGCGUUGCUAGGGAUACCCCUCCCCACCUAGGGUCUCAGAUCUCAGUCCUCGCUCCCGAGUGGGGUGGGGGUGAGCAAAAAAAGGAGUUAGUGCCUCUGAUGGACUCCGCCCAAGUGUGAUGUCACAAGCCGCUCUGGGAUCCCGACCCGUGUCGCUCCCUUGGGAUGGGGCGUGGAGAGGAACCCGGGAGUCCUAACUUCCGCCGCUCGCCGGGGCCUGGCACUGUUACAUAACCCCCGACGUCGCGUCCCCAGGGAUGUCGCCGGACGUCCUGGCCAGGCUGGGGACAAUGGGCGGGGAGAGGCCCUCCCGCCAGGAGCCUGGAAGUGGCAAGGGCACCCUCUCCUCUGAUUCACCCUUGUUUCCGGCCCGUUUAAGCCUCCUCCUUCUCCUCAAGAAUCCCUAUCUCCCCCAAACUCUCUACCCUCACAUCUUGUCCUCCCUAAAUUUCACCUCUUUCCCCGAGCCUGGAAAUAUGUCCUCUACCCAAACUCCCUGCCCUCACACCAGUCCCCUGUGAUUUCUGAAUCCCCUAAACGUCCAGUUUCCCACGCCCUCCUUCACUCACCCAUCCGCGGGCCCCUCUCCCGGGUCCCUCAAACUAGCCCCCACUUCCUACCCCGCCCCCGCCUUCCCAAUCUCCUCCCUUGGCUCCCCCAAACUUCCCCCAUCAUCUGUCUCCCCCAAACCCCUUCCCACCUCCCUCAAACUGACCCCGAAUACUCUUUCUCGUCCCUAAUGCCAGCCCUCUCUUGUUUCCCCGAAACUGCCCCAGUAUCUCUACCUCGUUCCCGCCAAAUCGGGUCCCCCAUACCCUCCCGGCUCCAGACAGCCGCCGGGUCCCCCGGCCCCAGGCCCCCGGCCGCCCGCGCCCUUCGCCGGCCCGCUCCCAGGCCCGGCUCCGGUUCCCAGGCCGCCCUCCCGCGGUGGCCUAGAGACCCAGUUUGCAGCGGCAAAACAUUGGUCUCCGGGCAACAGGCCCCGCCCGCCCCAGGGCGGCCCGCUGCGAGCCCAGCAGCGCCGAGGCCGAGACUGCGCGCGGAGGCGGGGCGGGCUCACAGGGCAGGGGCCUUCGCCUCCGGAGGCCCGCAGGGCGCAGAAACCCGGGGAGACGGCAACGCGGAAGUAGCGAUUCAGGGCCCCGGAGCCAGAAAACCUCGAGAAAUUCGUGGAGGCUGAAGCCACAGGGAGCUGUCUGGGGCGCAGUGAUAAAGAGACCGCGCGACAAAGCAAACAAGGACCGGGCCCCGAAAUAAACUCGGGGAUGGCGAGGCUAAACACAGACACCCCACGGGUCCGCAGGGACGCCCCUGAAGGCAGGAUAAUCUGCCUCAGCUCGUCUGGGCCAUUGCGCUUCUGUCUCAGGGGCCUCCCUCUCUGACCCUCAGUUUCCGUAUUUGUAAAAUGGGUAGCGCCCAGCACAGAGGGCUGUCGUGACAAUAGGGCUGUCGUAAGGAUUCAGGGAAUUCACCGACCUGGAGCUCGUGGCACACUCUUGGCACAUCCCAUCCGUCAUUCAUUCGUUCAACAGAUAUUUAUCGAGCACCCAUUAUGUGCCCUGCACUGUGGUAAGUGCUGGGAAUUCAACAGAGAGCAAAACAAAGAUCCCUGUCUUCGUGGGAGCUUCCACUUUGGGAGUGGGGAAGGAGGUGAUGGACGAUAUAGAAGCACAAAUUAGCACAUUAUGUAACACGCUGGAAAGUGGUCAUUGCCGGGGAGGUGGAGAGGGAGGGAGGGUUGGGGCAGCCGUUUUAAAUAGGGUGGUCAGAGAAGGCCGACCUGAGAAGGUGAUGCUUGAGCAAAGACUGGAAGUUGGUGAGAGAGGAGCCUGCAGAUAUCCCGGCCAAGAACAUGCCCGUCAGAGGGAGAAGCGGGUGCAAAGGCCUUAAGGUGGGAACAUGCCUGGUGUGUUGGAUUCACAGCCGGAGGCCCAUGUGGUUGGAGCAGAGAAAGCAAGGAGAGAGGGAGUGUCAGAGACACGGGGCCUGUGGGCCAUGAUGCAGAAACUGAGGCCCCAGGAGGUCACUCAACUUGCCCAAGGACUCAGCUCAGUCUGGCUCCAAAGAUGGACCCUCUACCUGCAGGGGAAAUCACUCUUCUCCCUGGCCACGUGUCUCCGCAGAACCUCACCUAUUAUGUGACAUCAGAACCUGGCAUCAGCCAACAAGGACCUACAGUAUAGCAGAGAAAACUAUACUCAAUAUUUUGUGAUAAUCUAUAAGA